UUUUCUAUGUCAUGUUCUUUUUUUAUUUUUCAUACAUUCUUUUUUGUAACAUUCGAGUGUCAAAGAUAGUAAAAAUUUCAAACUUCUAGGGUCCUGUCCUGAAGGAUGGAGAAGGUUUGGCAGCAGCUGUUACUAUCUGUCUACUGAGAGGAAAUCCUGGACUGAGAGUAGACAGGACUGUUUGGAGAGAGGAGCAGACCUGGUGAUCAUUAACAGUGAAGAGGAACAGGCAUUCAUCAAUGGGUUUGAAUCAGUCAGUUAUGUCUGGAUUGGUCUGACUCACUCUGUUACUGAGGGGACCUGGAAAUGGGUGGACGGCACCCCACUGACCACCCCAAGCUAUUGGAGGAGUGGAGAGCCUGGUGGUGGUGGAGUGGAGAACUGUGUGGAAAUCUAUUACAUGUCACCAGGCCAAAGAGUAUGGAGGGAUUAUAAGUGUUCAUUUUCACAACAAUGGAUCUGUGAGAAAGAGUAAUUUUUUUGGGGCGGCAGGUAGCUUAGUGGGUAAGAGCGUUGUGCCAGUAACCGAAAGGUCGCUGGUU
Molecule: long non-coding RNA, 542 nt
Organism: Coregonus clupeaformis (lake whitefish)
Lineage: Eukaryota; Metazoa; Chordata; Actinopteri; Salmoniformes; Salmonidae
Exons: 3
Source: RefSeq, a predicted model, not a curated record